RNAcentral lists this ribosomal RNA (254 nucleotides) under uncultured bacterium. RNAcentral's name for it is "partial 16S ribosomal RNA". It matches the Rfam family "Bacterial small subunit ribosomal RNA", at positions 524 to 776 of the family's 1533-position model. The record is from RNAcentral.
UACGUAGGGACCAAGCGUUGUUCGGAUUUACUGGGCGUAAAGGGCGCGUAGGCGGCUUAAUAAGUCACUUGUGAAAUCUCCGGGCUUAACUCGGAACGGCCAAGUGAAACUGUCAAGCUAGAGUGCAGAAGGGGCAAUCGGAAUUCUUGGUGUAGCGGUGAAAUGCGUAGAUAUCAAGAGGAACACCUGAGGCGAAGGCGGGUUGCUAGGCUGACACUGACGCUGAGUGCGCGAAAGCCAGGGGAGCAAACGGG